This 43667-nucleotide long non-coding RNA is filed under the name Setaria italica (foxtail millet). RNAcentral describes it as "long non-coding RNA (SITA_LNC001883)". Lineage: Eukaryota; Viridiplantae; Streptophyta; Magnoliopsida; Poales; Poaceae. The record is from RNAcentral.
AGCUUAAGUUAUCCGGUUGCAAAAGACUCGAGAAGCUUCCUGCAUUCUGGCAGUUACCAGCUCUGCAAAUUCUUUGCUUGUACGGAUUGGAAAACAUACGUUACUUGUGCAGCAGUGAUACAGCCUUCACAUUUCAGAAACUGAAGAACCUUGAAAUUUUUGAGUUGCCAAACUUUGAGAUAUGGUGGGGCACAAGUGAGGUGCGAGGAGAAAGACCAAUAUUUCCUCUGCUUGAGAAGCUGUUAAUCAAAGAGUGUAAAAGUCUAGCUGCAUUGCCGAAAGCAUCAGUUGUUAAAGAAACAUUUGAAGGAGUCAAGACUGAGUACAGGUCUGCAUUUCCAGCAUUGAAGGAAAUGGAAUUAGAAAAUCUUGAUAUGUUUCAACGAUGGGAGGAUGGCGAAGGAACUCCAGGAGAAGAGCUAACAUUUCAUCGGCUUGAGAAACUAAUAAUUCGGAGUUGCCCAGCGUUGACUACUGUACCCGAAGCACCUAAGCUAAGUGUAUUAGAAGUACAUGGAACCAGCCAACAAAUAUCGUCCCUGCACGCAGCUAGCAGAUAUAUCACUUCAUUGUCCAGCCUGGAGUUGUUAGCCGAUGACACAGAAACAGAAUCGGUGGCUGAACAAAAUUCGAGUGAGUUGGUGCAUGGCAGGGAGAAAUGGGAGCAUAGAUCCCCUCUGGCACGUAUGCAUUUACGGGGAUACAACCUUUUGUUCUCCCACUCAAGUGCACUGCCGCUAUGGACAUGUUUUGCACAGCUCGAACAUUUAACAAUUUGGUGGUGCGACUCUCUUGUCUACUGGCCAGAAAACGUGUUCCAGGCCCUGGUAUCCUUGAGGAAUUUACGUAUUUGGAGAUGCAGCAAACUGACUGGACGCACACAAGAAACUUCUGAGCAAUCUGCUCCAGAACGGAGUGGACUCCUGCCAUGUCUAGAGUCUCUAUCAUUAGAUGAUUGUCCAUCUUUGGUAGAGGUUCCCAACCUACCGGCAUCUCUCAAGACAUUACAUAUUUACAACUUCCAUAUGCUCGGGUCCAUCAUAUUCGGUCAGCAGGAGGAUACAUCAUCAUCACUAAUUCCAGGGUCCAGCAGUACUGAAGCUGUACUGAAGCUGUCAUCAUCAACCAGCCAUCCCUUCCUUCCAUGCCUAGAAUCGCUAGACAUAAUGCUUUGCCGUGGCUUGUCAGAGGUUGCCAAUCUUCCUCCGUCCAUCAAGACCUUGGAGAUUUGGGAAUGCGACAAUCUUCGAUCCUUAUCAGGACAGCUGGAUGCACUCCAAACAUUAAAUAUUAACCGUUGCAGUAAUUUGAAAUCGCUGGAAUCUUGCUUGGGAAGGCUCCCGUCGCUGGAAAACCUCAGCCUUUACAUGUGCAGAAGCCUGCAAUCCUUACCAAAUGGGCCUCAAACGUACUCAUAUCUUAGAGCUCUUUGGAUUCAAUCUUGUCCUGGUAUAAAGUUGCUUCCCUCGAGCCUACAGCAACGUCUGGAUCAUCUCGAGGAGAAAACACUAGAUGCCCGUUAUGAAGGUAACCACCAGUCUAUUUUUUGUCCAUUUCUUUUAAUAAAGUGACCAGGAGCUCAAUUGGUGUUUUGGCAAAAAAAGCAACUAUUGACUUAAUAAGCAUACUAGUAGUUACGACAAGAUGUGGUAGUACAAUUCUGUGAUUAUUUUCCCCGUUAGUUGUCUUAACGUUUUUUCUCGAAAUUCACUAGCUCCAUGACAUAAGGUUUGAAUAUGUGUAAUUUUGUUUAAAUGCCUGAUGCCUUUUUACAUAAAACAUAUUUUUUGCUUGUACAAUACUAUUGGAUGCCGUAUACAAUCAUUCUCCUGUAUAUAUACUUUCCAAUUUGGUGUUGACUUGCAUGCAUAACUUCUGACACCAUCUAUGAUCACGACCUGACCUGCCAGGAUGGGAAUAUUCAAUUAGGAGGCGGCUGGCAUGCUUGAAAUAGCAGAUUGAAGACAUGAUGAAAGUUAUUACCAUGGUUCGUAAUAUUGGUGUGCCUGAUGAUUGAUUUUGUAUGACACUAGCUUCUAAUGCUGACUCCCGUGUUUGACUUCUUUGUAGGAUCGUUGCCAGGGCUGAUUGUGACUCGAGAUACAUUUGCCCUUUCUGAAGGUUAUCACCAGUGAAGUCAAGCUGAAGGCCUUGAUUUUGAGCAGAAAACAAAUGCCGGACUGCAAACGGAAGAAUUUAGCAUACAGAGAUGCAUGCUCCAGUUUUUAAUCCUUCUUUGUUCUUUUCAAGUGUGACGUGUUUGAAUAUGUGUGCGCUCCAGCAUAAGCGAAACACAACCAACACUUGAUGUAAGGAUGUGUUUUUCUACAUGACUGCAGAACAUGCUUGUUGUUCGACAAGCUGGUUUAAGCUGCUGAUUGAAAUGCACUGAAUGUGAUGAACUUCAUUCCAUGUGUGUAUCUAAUACUGAAUGGUGUGCAAGGUGAUCCUGCAAGUCUUCAGAUAGUCCAAUCCUGUGCAUAAGUUUUAUUGUUAAGUCCUGUUUCUCUUGCGGCGUCUUUUCUCCUGUUAAGUCUCCAAUGAAAUUGAAAAGAAUGGUGAUUGCGACGAAUUAUAAGAAAUUAGUUCGGAGAUCAUCAUUUUAGACGAACAACAAAAAAAAAUGGCGAGAAAGUUAUUCUGUAAUUAACUUCCCUGCAAUACAGAAUUCAGAGUUACCAAAUCAGUGAUGCUGCGUCAUGGUCCAUAACGAAUUAACGAUACCAUGAGCCAUAAGAAAUUGGUCAUGAGAACAAUUUAUUUGUAAAGACAAGAAAGUCGUCCUGGAAGCGUCAGGACAAAAAGGUCAAUGCAAAUAGCUGCAUGACUGAGAAGAGCCAGGAAAGGCACCGGCCGGUGAAAGAGCACAUGGUCCGCAAUUCUAGCAUUGUGAAACAAAGCAGAGGGUGAUUAGUUACCCACACAUACUUAGUGCACCAACAUUACCAUAAACUUUCAUUUGGAACGCACGUUACACAAAGUUUUGUAGGCUUGUCAUUUCGAUAAAUAUAUGCUGGGCAUGGCAAACUGCAUCCUACAGCAGGGUGUUGAAAACUAAAGUGCAGAAAGAACACAUAUGCAUCAACCAAAAGACCGCAGCAUCCAGUAAAUCCGAAAACAGAGCAGCCAACUAAUCAUGCAGAAAAGAGCAGGCACGGGGACAAUCAGAAUGGUGAUGCCUUGCUGAUCAUGCAGCAAGGAGCAGACACGAUUGCAUCUUAACUCCAGACUAUCACUAAACCCGUAAAUCCUAAUUCAUGUAAAACUGAACAUAUGCUUGUGAAAUUCCUGCAAAAAUCUUACUACAGAAUUAUUGUGUCCAAAACAGGCCCCAAGAAAUUGACGCCCCUAGUAGACUUAAAUUCCUUCGAUCAUGGCAACGCCAGCAGAUUGUACUACUCAUCAGAGUAUGCAUAUGAACAGGAACAGACCGCACGGCACCGUAGAGUUGGUGCAGUAUGCCAGUACGCCGCCGACGGCUGUCGCCGCCAGCUUCUUCCACUGCGCACUGCCGUCGGCGGGGAGCCCCCUGCCGAACCACACGAGCGCGGCGACGGCCGCGUAGGCGAGGGCGACGAGGGCCAGAGUUGUUUAUCCAAUCGUUUGAUCUUUCAGAGUUGCACGUCUGUUUGUCUACGCUGCCGCAGUUAACAAAGGAGCCGCAUUCUGUGACAAAUCAUGGAUAAAGAUUCUGUGACGUGCUGUACUAAUCUUGAGAGCGAUAGAUUGGAUGCAAUAGUGUCGGACAAAAUUAUUGAUCUUUAUACAUCCAAAACAAAUUGUUGGUCUCCAUAUCCAUAUCAUUUGAACGAGGAGUACUUUGCGACCGGAUUGCAUUCAUUUGAAUAAAAAUCGUCACUCGUCAGAUGCUCUUUUGCCAUUGGGCCUGAAAAGGCUCAGUUUAAACCCUUGUGAGGUGAAAUAUGGGCUUGAGUUGUAAAUCUACCUGCAUCUUAUUUGGAACAUAUCAACACCCACUCGUAAAACUUCCAACUAAAUCCGCCAGCACUUGUUCAAUUCGAUGCACGGCGACGGCGAGGCUGUCCAGCACGCCGGCGAUGGCGGACGCAAGUAUCCGAGCGCGAGCGGCCAGCUUCACACGCUGCUCCAUCGCGUUCCACUCCCUCAGAUGUUCGGAGCGUAGUUUACUAGUUUUGUAAAUACGAGAACAAGGCUACAAAUUAGCACUCUUGAGACGAGACCUUUGCAAUGAAAAACUCAUGUAGAGACAUCGCACUAAUUAUAAGUGCCACAGUAGAAACUCAUGUUGAGACGAGACCUUUGCAACGAUAAACUACAAUUAUAUAUUGAAACAGGGCUCAAACAGCAGCCACACUAGAAAUGCCUACUGUAUCAGAUCACUAAUUAUAGUUGCACCAGGAAUUGAUCUGAACUGAUUCUCGGCAGGAUCAUGGCACCCUAAAUUUAGAUGAAUAUUAUGGUUAUGUUAAAUUUUAUAAUGCCAAAGUUGUAUAAUUUAGAUAUAGGUUUAGGGGUUUACUUUAGAAUAUUUUUAUAAUGAUAGUGGUGGAUAAGUUUUUAGAAAACAUAAUAAACCAAUGGAUAUGAUUAUUAGAAUCUAUAUGAUUUAUAACCAGAUGUUUUUUUAUUUUUUAGAGAAUUUGUAAGAUUAGUCUUUUUUCCUGAUGUGUCUCGUGAGAAUGUGGAGUCUCCAAUUGAAAAAAAAUGAAAGCGUAUAUCUAAAAAUUAAAAUUAUUAACUUCAACUCUCUCUCAUUUGUUAAAUAUUCUAAUGCAAUAUUUAUAUAGAUAUAUACUUAUUAUCUUCAUCUGAUUGUGAUAGGCUUUAAUUAGUAAUUACUCUAUAACGUUUCCAUCUACAUUUAUAAUAUUUCUAUACUUUUCAUCGAGUAUGCGCUUGAAUUUGUUUAGUGAACCAUAAGUUUGAGCUAUAUUUUUAACAUGAAAAUCUAUGUUCUUAUAUCUUUCUCUAUAUAUUUAUAAAUGGUGACACACACGCACCAUGCAUAUAUACUUUAAAUAUUAUUUUCUAUACCAUGCAUAUAUACCUUAAAUAUUUUUAUACAAACAUGUUAUCUCAUGUUAUUUUUAAUAAUGGCAUAAGUGGGUAAUUUAAAUACAAAUUUAAGUGUUACUUUAAGUUAUUUUUUAUAAUGUUAGCUGUGAGCAAUUUAGAUGCAAAUUUAGGGGUUAAAGUAGGUAAUUUAGAUGAAGAUUAGGGUUACUUUAGUUUAUUUUCUAUAAUGGUAGAGGUGGUUAAUUUAGAUAUAAAUUAAGGGGUUACUUUAAGCUAGUUUCAUAAUGGUAGAGGUGGAUAAUUUUUUAGAAAACAUAAUAGAUACAAUGGCUAUGAAGUUUAGUCUACCGAAUCGAUGGAUAGAUGUUUUGCUUUUUUGAGAAAAUUUCUAAAAUUCUCUUUUUUUAGGAUGUUCACCUAAGAAAGUCAUGGCUGGCCAUCAAUAGUUGGAACAUUGAGAGCCAAGCAUUCAACGGGAAGAGCUACCAAUACCAAUCAUUGAUUAUUCUUACACUAAUAAUACACCAAGAAGAUUCUUGUAGCAAAAGGCAAAGCUACCCAACCUAGUGACGAGGAUAGUUUCUAUAGCAUUAAAUAACAUGACAUGUAAGCAAAAGAGUGAUGUGGCAUGAGAGUUACCGAAGGGAGAGAAGGAAAUGGUUUCUCAUGCGAGAAACCAUGUCUACACACAAUCUAAGAAAUGCGGAAGGGGGAUUGGAGAGAAGGGGGAUUGGAGAGGAAAGGAGAGAGGAGAUUGGUUGAUACUUUAUUUUGAAGAAACCAUUUAUUACCAACAUAAUUUAUAUCUAAUGUCUAUAUGACAUGGCAUGUAUAGAAACUACGUGGUGGUGUCUUGGAUUGGGACGGGCCUUCGUAUACUCCAUUGGGGACGUUGCAAUUGACAAACGUACGUUACGAUGAACCCUAGCACAACACAAAUGAGCGCCUGAUGCACGAACAACCAAAGCAUAAUUAAUGAAGGGAAAGAAUGAUCAAUUGCUACUCCCUCCGUUCUUUCUCAUUUGAUAGCCAUAUUUCCAAAUCUAAAAAUUUCUCUUUUGAUAAUCUUAUUUGAGUCCAACUAUCCAUCCAAUUAAUAGUUAUCUCAGAUCCAAUGCGUGACUCUUCAUUCUUCCAAUCGAGAGUCACAUGAUUUUUCAUGCGAAAUAUGCUUGUGUGCGGUGCAUGGGAUUCGAACCCACAACCUCAAGCCUCGUGCGUAGCUUCCUUAUCAUCUCACCUACACAGCACAUCUGACUGAGUAGGGGAUGCAAUACUUUUGUAGUAACUCGUGGCCCUUUAGUCCCGGACUAAAGGUGUCUCCAUGGACGACGAAAUUUAGACUCGGGACUGAAGCAUCUUUAGUCCCGGAUCAAAAACAAUCGAGAUUUUUGUUGAGGAUGGAAGGUUAUUUUUCCACUGGUGUUUACUAAUUAGGAGUAUAGUCACUAAACCAGUUCAUCAGUAGGCCUAGCCAUUCUGAAGGCGUUGCCGGUGGCAGCACCGCAGUCGACGCCGUCCAGUUCUUAGUACUGCUGGCCUUGGCAGAGGCGGCGGAGUAUGAACACAUAGAAGCCUGUGAGCAUGACGAUGGGCACCACUAACAAGACGGUGAACACCAGCACGGUUAGCAAGGCUUGCGGUGCUUGGUACGCCAGCCAGCAAGCAGAUGAGGAGCGCGUUCAGGACCCAAGAGGCGACGUUCAGCUGCCGCCGCUCCCCGGGUGGCGAUUCCGGCGUGAGCUGCUCGGUGCGGUGGAGUCAGACGAAGACUGCGGCAAGGAGUGCAUAGGGACCCACGAUGACGGCCAGCUCCACCGGGUCGCAGCGUGCCCGCCAUGCCAACAGGGCGAUGCUGUAGGCUAUGAGGGUGAUGACGGCGACGCGGGACAGGCACGUGACGGUGAGCAGCGCUCUAACCGCUCUUCUUCUUCUUGCAUGGGCCUCCUCGGCUGGUGGCUGUGCGUGGUGGGAUUGGCGGCGGAUUGACAAACAAUGCAUCGAUAGCUGUCUUGAGGUUUUUUCAUGAGAAUUGAGGAUAUCUGUCAUCAGGUUUAGGAUAGAAAUCUGUUGAAUUUCAUAUCGGAUUUUGAUCGGAGAUGGCAAGUCCCCUUGUUUCUAGAGUGGUGCCUUCUCUUCUCCGGCGAUAGCGACAUUAGGGUUAGGGUCUAAAGGAUUUGGGAUUUGGAUGCUGUCGGAUUAGAGAGAAGCUUGGGGAGGUCGUUUGCCAGGCAGUGAAGCUAGGUGGGAUAAUGGGGUUGUAGGAUAGCCCCCGAUAUUGGUCAUCAGGCAGUGCAGCUAUGCUAGACAUGUGUGGCUGUUAGUGAGUAAUUGGACCCAAGGAGUACUCAAGGUGCCGGAGAUAAAUGAAGCUGACAUUGAGGAAUGGUGGAAGAGGUCUCUAGGGGCAGUCACAAUAAAAGAAAGAAGAUCAACAGCUGCCAUCUUAAUGUUCUCAGCUUGGAAUAUUCGGAAAGAGAUGAACAGGAGAGUGUUUGAAGGAGAGAGUCUGUGCCCAGAUCAAGUUUUCUCAAUAAUUCAAAAUGGUAUCAACAUGAGAAGGAGUGCAUGUGGAAACCCAGCUGUGGGUUUGAGUAGCUCGUAAUAAAUUAUGUUAGCUUCUUUUUCAAUGCAAGAGACAUUUAUCUUAUGUAAUAUCGAACUUAUUGUAACCAUAAAUUUCAAUCUCCUUAAAUGAAUCGGCAGUGCUCUGCCUCUUUUUUUUUUUAAAAAAAAGAUACCGCCCGACGCAAUGGUGGAGAACAACGGUUGAGGACAGGAGUGCUGGAUGUUGGAUGCUACGUGUCUCAAGUGUGUUGCUUGCAAUGGUGUAGGUGUGCAUUACGGCUCAUGUAUUGUAUAUCAUCACUAGUUAGAUUGGUGCGCUUUGUGUCACUAGUAGAGAAUUGGCUUUCGAUCCGCCCCCUUUUGUCCCGGUUUAAAGUUGGCCCGGGACAAAAGGGGGUGCGCCACGGUAGGCAAAAAUGGAGGGGAGAUUUACUCCCGGUUGGUAAUUGCAACCGGGACUAAAGGCCCCCCUUUAGUCCCGGUUGCAACGACUAGUGGGGGGCUGUCGGUGGCGGCACCCUUUUAUCCCGGUUGGAGCCUCGAACCGGGACUAAACUUUCAACCGGGACAAAAGGUGUUCCUUUUUGUCUCGGUUGGAGUUUUUAACCGGGAUAAAAACUCAUCCCCAUUAUAUACGGCCAAGACAGAGGACUUUCUUCCUCCUCCAGCCCGAGCCAGUCCAGCACAUUGACAGAGAGAGCUGAGCUUCACCUACUCUCCGGUGGUGCCGAAGCAAGCAAGGGAGGUGCUGCCCGAAGUUUUUCCCUCAUUUUCGUGGGAAUUUCACUCGGCCAACACAAGUGUUGCGAAGGUUUGCUACUUCAUCCUCGUGUUAUGCUUUGAUUUAUGCUUUGGAGAUGGAAAGAUUAUUUGCUAGAAUGUGAUGAUGAAGUAGAAAAAUGGAGAGGUAUUUUGAGCUAGAAUGUGAGGGAGAUUGAUGUGUCAUAUAUAGUAUACAUUAUUGCAGUGGUUUAAAAAUGAUGCUACCUUGUCUAGACGGUUUAUCUUAUCAAAUUCAAUAUGGUUUUUUAAAUCCAUACUUGUUGAACUUGCAUACCGUGUUCAUUUCUGCUACGAUGUUCUCCGCCGAGCAGCAACGUAUGUCAAGAAGGAGGUUCGAUUCUACGAGAAAGAGUGGAUACGGACAUCGUGACCGUGUCCCCUUUUCCGUAGCAUCUAACCUCUUUCAUGACGAAGUGCGGUGCCGCCCAGUUGAGGACAUCCUCGCGAGAUGAUCACAGUCUUCAAGUUCAACAACUUAUGCAGUGUUAAGGUAAUAAUUUUUGUACAUAGAUGGCUUCUGCUACUGGAGGAAGUGGUGAUGGUGGGGGCGAUCGUGGUUCCUAUUUCGGCAAGGUUCCAAUCAUAGUUGGCCCUCAGCAUAAGCUGAAGAAAAAGAGCGCGCUGGAAAAAGCAAUGCUUCGUUAUUUGCAGCAACAUCAUGAAGAAGCUGUUGCCGCGGGUCAGGAACCUCCUUUUGGUGGUCGUUAUGCUCCACCCUCAGUCCCGGGUGUUUCACGUCCACUUAGUACUACCGUUUCAGGCGGCACAAAUAAACCUAAAGAUGAGGUUGGGUCAGCGGAACCUUCGUCUUCACCGUCCAAGGAUGCUUAAAGUCCUCCUUGAUAAUAACCAGUCGAUGGCUUGUUGUAUUGUAUCAUGUUGUUUGGGACUUUAAUUUAAAUAUGUGUAUUUGGAUCUUCAUGUUGUUGUAUUGUACCAUGUUGUUUGGAUCUUUAAUCGAUUUUCACACGUAAUCCAUUGUCAAGUGUAAUCCAUUUUCAUGCGUAAUACGAUGUAGAUGGACCGACAAUGGAUGUAUAAUGCAGACAGGCGGAGCAAGGCGUUUAUUGAUGGCUUGCAUUAUUUUCUCGAAGUGGCAAAAGCGAACAAGCUAGAGAAUGGGUUCGUAUGUUGUCCAUGCUUCCAAUGCAAUAACAAGAAGGAGUAUUCAAAGGAUUCCUGGGGGACUAUUCACAGCCACUUGUUUAAAUACGGUUUCAUGCAUAACUAUUUGGUUUGGACCAAGCACGGUGAACUAGGGGUUGUAAUGGAAGAUGGCGAGGAGGAGGAAGAUGACACCAUUCCGGAUUGGGUUGCAGGCCAAGCUUUUGCAGGUACUACAAUGGGCGAGGCUGAUGAAGAUGAGUUUGCAGAAAAUGGCCCUACUGAUGACCUUGGUCAGGUGAUACGAGAUGCAUACAGAGAUUGCGAAACUGAGAAGGAAGCAGCAAAGUUGCAGCGCAUGAUAGAUGAUCACCAAAAAUUGUUGUACCUAGGUUGCCAGCAGGGCCAUAAAAAACUAGGUACGACACUAGAAUUUGUGCAAUGGAAGGCAAAAAAUGGUGUGUCCGAUAAGGCAUUUCAGGGGAUGUUGAACAUUGUCAAGAAGAUUCUCCCCGAGAAUAAUGAAUUACCGUCCACAACAUAUGAAGCUAAACAGAUUAUUUGCCCUCUCGGAUUGGAUGUUCAGAAGAUACACGCAUGCCCUAAUGAUUGUAUCCUCUAUCGUGGUGAUGAAUACGAGAAAUUGGAUGCUUGUUCCAUCUGCGAAGCCCUGCGGUAUAAGAUCAGGCGAGAUGAUCCUGGUGAUGUCGAGGGGCAGUCUCCCAAGAAGAGAGUUCCCGCGAAGGUGAUGUGGUAUUUCCCUAUAAUACCAUGCUUGAAGCGCUUGUUCAGGAACAAGGCGAAUGCUAAGUUGAUGCGAUGGCACAAAGAAGACCGUAAGGAAGAUGAGAUGCUGAGACACCCCGCAGAUGGGGCACAGUGGAGAUCAAUUGAUAGAACAUUCCCAGACAUUGAAAGUGAAGCAAGGAACAUAAGGUUUGGUUUAAGCACUGAUGGAUUCAAUCCAUUCGGUGAGUUGAGUAGUGGCCAUAGUAUUUGGCCUGUGACCCUUUGUAUGUUCAACCUUCCUCCUUGGCUGUGCAUGAAGCGGAAGUUCAUUAUGAUGCCGGCACUUAUUGAAGGCCCAAAACAACCCGGCAACGACAUUGACGUGUACCUAAGGCCGUUGGUUGAUGACCUUUUACAGCUCUGGAAGGAAGAAGGUGUACGUGUGUGGGAUAAGGAUAGACAAGAGAUCUUUAAUCUACGAUCAUUGUUGUUCGUAACCAUCAAUGAUUGGCCUGCAUUGAGUAACCUUUCAGGACAGACAAAUAAGGGAUAUCGGGUAUGCACCCACUGUUUAGACGACACAGCCAGCAUGUACUUGAAGCACUGUAAGAAGGUCGUCUAUAUGGGUCAUCGUCGAUUUCUCCCUGCUCACCACCAGCUGAGAAAGAGCGGGAUGCAUUUCAAAGGGGCGCCAGACCAUCGUAAAAAACCUGCACACCGUAAUGGAAAGCAUGUGUUCGAGAUGAUGAAGGAUGUAAAUGUAGUCUUUGGAAAGGGACUUGGUAGCCAACCUGUUCCGAACGACGAUAACGGACAUGCACCCAUGUGGAAGAAAAAGUCAAUAUUUUGGGAGCUACCUUAUUGGGAAAUCCUAGAGGUUCGCAACGCAAUAGACGUGAUGCACCUGACGAAGAAUCUUUGCGUGAACGUGCUAGGCUUCAUGGGUGUUUAUGGAACCUCAAAAGAUACAUUGGAAGCACGACAGGACUUGAAAGCCAUGGGGCAACAAGAUGACCUACAUCCGGAAAAGAGAGAUAAUGGACAGCACUACUUACGUCCUGCCAGUUACACUCUCAGCAAGGAAGAGAAGGAUAGCAUGUUUGAAUGCUUGAAUAGUAUGAAGGUCCCGUCUGGGUACUCCUCGAAUAUAAAGGGAAUAAUAAAUAUGAAACAAAAGAAGUUUACAAAUCUCAUGGCUCACGACUGCCACAUGUUGAUGAUCCAGUUGCUUCCGGUUGCACUGAGGGGUGUUCUACCAGAAAAUGUCCGGUUGCCGCUCGUAAAGCUAUGCACAUUUCUCAAUGCGAUUUCGCAGAAGGCAAUCGAUCCAUCCAAGCUAUCAAAGCUACAGAAUGAUGUGGUGCAAUGUCUUGUCAGUUUUGAGUUGUUAUUUCCACCAUCCUUCUUCAAUAUUAUGACGCACUUACUGGUUCACCUAGUAAAAGAGAUUGGUAUUCUCGGAUCUGUAUACCUGCACAAUAUGUGGCCUUUCGAGAGGUUCAUGGCAGUCCUAAAAAACUAUGUUCUUAAUCGUGCCUGUCCAGAAGGAAGCAUCGCCAAGGGAUAUGGAACAGAGGAGGUGAUCGAGUUUUGUAUUGAUUUUAUUGAUUCAAUUGACUCGAUUGGGGUUCCAACUUCACGCCACGAGGGGAGGCUCCGAGGAAUGGGCACCCUUGGAAGGAAAUCAAGUUUGAGCAAUGAUACUGAUUUGUUCGACAAGGCACACUACACUGUUCUACAAUAGUCAUCCUUUGUGUNNNNNNNNNNNNNNNNNNNNNNNNNNNNNNNNNNNNNNNNNNNNNNNNNNNNNNNNNNNNNNNNNNNNNNNNNNNNNNNNNNNNNNNNNNNNNNNNNNNNCCUGGUUGCGCCAACAACUUAUGGGUAACUCUGAGAUUCACCCACAGCUUGCCUGGUUAGCCAGGGGACCUGCUAGCACAAUCGUCGAAUUCCAAGGCUAUGAGAUAAAUGGUUACACAUUUUACACGAGAGCCCAGGACCAGAAAAGCACGAACCAGAAUAGUGGUGUCCGCAUAGAUGCCAUGGACAGAAAUAAUAGUAAGGAGUCGUAUUAUGGUUUCAUACAGGAGAUAUGGGAACUCGAAUACGGACCGCUGUACAUCCCUCUAUUUCUUUGCAAUUGGGUGAAGCUAACUGCCAUCACCAAAGAUCAGUACGGAAUGACAAUAGUAGAUCUGAGCAAGACUGGAUACAGUGAUGACCCAUUCGUACUUGCCAAUGAUGUGCAUCAGGUGUUCUAUGUGAAGGACAUGUGUAGCAAACCCAAGAGGAAUCCAGAAGAGACAUGGGAGCCAAAGUGCCACAUAGUUCUUCCAGGUAAAAGAAAAAUCGUGGGAGUCGAGGAUAAAACAGACCAAUCAGAUGAUUAUGAUCAGUUUGAUGGCAUGCCUCCAUUCGCUGUUGAGGUUGAUCCAAGCAUCCUGCUAUCCAAAGAAGAGGCUCCGUACUUACGCCGCGAUCAUGAUCAAGGAACUUUCGUGAAGAAGAAAUUUUACAACGUUGUAUUGUAAUGCGUUAAAUGUACAUGACCUUUGUGUAUUAAUUGAUACAAUUUGUAAUUUACCCUAUGUAUGAUUUCAUGUGUUCUUAAAUUUGUUAGGUGAAGAUUUUUUUAGAUAAACAUGAACAAUGUUAACCACAUACAAACAUGGAUUUUUCUGCGCAUUGAAAUUAUUUAAUUGAAUAAUUUCUUGAUCACAGCAAUGCAGUAAAAUAAAUAUUUUAGAGGCUAAAUGAACUGGUAUAGAAUUAAUGAUUAAUUCAUACUUAUUGUCAAUUUACUCGUUAAUUAAAUAUAUUUUUGUAUGUACAAAAUCUGUGAUGGUUUUGUUUUUCAUCCUGAAAUGCAGUGAAAAGAUAAAAUAAAAUCUAUUUCCAAAAAACAGGCGGGAGAAGAAAACUAGGAAAAAAGACCUUUUGUCUCGGGUGCUAACAGCAACCGGGACAAAAGGCCCCCCUUUUAUCCCGGUUGCAAACGGCAACCGGGAUAAAAGGGUACUUUUUGUCUCCCGCCCGGACGUACCCUUUUAUCCCGGUUGCCAACUGCAACCGGGAUAAAAGCCCCCCCCUUUUUUCCCGGUUGAUGGUGGCACCCGGGAUAAAAGGGUACGCUCCCAGCCCCACCUAGCGGACGCACCCUUUUGUCCCGGGUACCAUUACGAACUGGGAUAAAAGGGGGGGGGGGUUAAAAGGGACUGUACUCCCUUCUACCCCCGCUAGUUACACUUAGCAAAAUUUUCGCCAAGUCCCGCGCGUUCUGCUCUGCCGUCGCCGCCUGUCCGCCUCCCUCGCCGGGCGCCGCCGUCGUCGUCCCCCAUUGCACCGGCUGUCGUCGUCCCGCCGCCGACCGCGCCCAGACAUCGUCGUCCUCCAUCACCCCAGCCGGCCCGCCUCAAUCCUCCUCGUCCGUCGCGCCCGGCCCCCACCUCGUCGCCUCCGGCCACCGGCUCCAUCCUCGUCGCCGCCUCGAUCCUCGUCGCCGCCUCGUCGCCCCUCGUCGCCCCUCGUCGCCGCCUCGUCGCCGUCCCACCUACGUCGUCCCGCCGUCCUGCGCGCCUUGGUGGCUCAUCGUCGUCACCUCGGCCGCCGUCCUCGCCGCACCGGCCGCCGCCGUCUCGCCGCCCGGCCGCCGCCGUCCCGCCGACCCGGCCAACUCGUCGCCCCGGCCACCGUCGACGACCGCGCGCGAGAGGUCCGCCGCCGCGCCGGCCGGCACUGGUGCCGGGAGGGCCUUUUUUUUUAAGUUAGAAAAUUAAGUUAUAUUUUUAUGAUAGAUUUUUAAGUAUGAUUGUUAAGUUAGAAAUUUAAGUUAUAUUUUUAAGUUAGAUUUUUUAGUUAGAUUGUUAAGUUAGAUUUUUAAGUUAGAUUUUUAAGUUAGAUUUUUAAGUUAGAUUUUUUUUAAGUUAGAUUUUUGUAUAUGUGUCCCCUCUGCCGUCCCGCCGCCGUGACCGCCGCCGUCACAACCUAGUAGGCACCGCCCGUGGUUCCGGGGAACCGUCCCCGCCUCCACUGUACCGCCGCCCUGACCGCCGCCGUCACAAUCUAGGCACCACCCGUGGUUCCAGGGAACCGUCCCCGCCUCCGCCGCCCUGACCGCCGCCGUCACAACCUAGGCACCGCAUGUGGUUAUUGCUAGAAAUUCGUAGAAAUUCAUAGAAAUUCGUAGAAAUUUGUAUAAAUAUUCCGAACUUUGUAGGAUUCAUGUUAUUUUAUGAUUUCAUUAUAUACAUGUAUGAUUCCGAACUUUGUAGGACUUUGUAGAAAUUUGUAGUAAGACGAUUUCUAUGACUGUCAUGUAUGAUUCCAUGUAUGUUUCAAUCAAUAGUUGAAAUGGCAGACGAUGAGACCGCAAGGUAUAUCAUGGAGCAGAUAAUCGCUGGUGAUGGUAGUGGCGACAACGUUCCACUAUCAUACACGGAUGAAGAGGGCACCCAGGCGGACAUGUUCCUCAACAUGUCCGCCGAUGGGAAUGAAGAGCAACAGCCGCAGCAACAACUUGCCGUGGCGGAAGGUUCCGACGAGGUAUAUAUAACCAUUCUUGUAUUGUUUCAUGCCACCGUUACUACUACUUACUAAUUAACGAAUCUUGAACUGUUAGCCCUCCGGAUCGACGCAGGGCAGAAGACCCGAGGUCGUACAAAGGUGAUGGAAGGGAGGCUUGUCAUCACGGAAGUGACAGAAGAGGGCAGGCCGGUUGCUCCCGAGAAAGUAGCAAAGAAGUACGUGAGUCAGAUCGGGGCAAUCGUCCGAGACAACGUGCCUAUCAGCAUCAGAGAAUGGAAGGGCAGAAGCACUAAUCCGUACGCCCUCACGGAGACAGAAAAGAAUAUGCUGUGGGAAGACGUGAAGAGACAUUUCACAUUCCCCGAAGAUAUAGUGAGAAUGAUGUCAAAGCGUGACGCUUAAGAAGAUGGCUACUCAAUUUCAGACAUUCAAGAAGAUGCUGGAUACCCACUACAUUAAGAAGGGCCGAAGUCCAGACUUCAACGCGUGGCCAAAGUUGAGGGACCGCUGGGAUGCAUUUGUUGAAUAUAAGAGGAGUGAAGACGGUGUGAAAAAGAUCACGACCAACACAGCAAAUGCUAGUCAGAAGGGCUACCACCAUCAUUUGGGGUGAGGUGGGUAUGGCUCAGCAAUUCCCAAGUGGAGGAAGACAGAACAAGAUCUGAUCGAACGGGGAAUCGUACCUGCAACUAUUGAAUGGCCCGAACGAUAAAAAAAUUGGUACUACGCUCAUGGAGGCUCCCUAAGCCAAGAGGAUGAGACGUUGAUUUUUAAUGACACAAUAUGUGAGGAGGUCGAACAUCUUGUGAAGAACAUUGAAGAUUCUAAGGCUGGGAGGUUGAAGGUGGACCGAGAAAAUGAUGAGCUCACAUUGGCCCUCGGUAAUCCAGAGCACCCAGGACGUUGCCGAGGGUUCGGGGUGGUUCCAUGGAAGUUUGCUUUCCGAGGCGACAACGCCUCGUACAGAAGCCGGAAGCGAAGAAAGGAACAGAUCGAGGAGAGCUGGCGGCAGAUGCUAGAAUCUAAAGUGCAGGCACAAGAACAAAGAAUGAUGGAGGAAAUCAAUCGGCGGGUGGCCCACGCAGUUGCGGAGUUGGCCCAAUCUGGAGCAUUGCCGAUUCCUAACACCGCCAGCCCUUCUCAACGCCUCUUGAGCAGUUGUGCUUCUACAGGGGUCCCCGAUGCGCAGACGCCCAGGUUACCCGUGGAGGAGCAAUGGUUCCCCGUGGAUGCCAUCACACAACGGACCUCAUGUGAGCUGCAUGCACCGGUCGGCAACCUCACUAUUAAGGUAUACUUAUACAUAAUAUUUAUGCAAUCUUGUCAAUUGAUCCAGGCCUCGAGAUCGGAGUUCAACUUGUUUACUUCUGCUAUAUGUACAGGUAGCAUACGGGAGUGCGUUAGCAACCCUGGCGGGGCAGAGCAGUCAUGGCAUGGAAAUUCCACCAGGCUACGCCAGCGUCUGCGUAGAGCAAAUAGUUGAUAGCCAGUAUGAAGGUCUAGAGCUCGACUUCCCGGGAGGCGACGGGGAAAAGACAUUGGCAGAUGCGCUUCAUGGGAUCAUUCUAUGGCAAAAACGCUACACCAUUAUUCCCGGCACGGAGCCAUCUCCUCAGACCUCAAGACCGCUCCCCGUAGAUCCCCAGCAGCGACCUUCUCCUCAUACCUCGAGACCGUCAUCUCCUGCUCCAGGACCGUCCCUUCCAUCUAUAUCAAGGUCUCCAUCUCCACCACAUCCUGGUGCUGGGAGCGACGACGACAAUAACAACACCCCUCCCCGAUCACCGUCGUCGGCACCAAGAGCGGCCCCCUUGAAGGAACCUGCACCACCACUAAAGAAGUCACGAGCACCGCCUCCCAAGCAAAGACAGAGAAAGAAUAAAAACAAAGGAGCCUGAAGUGACUCGUAAGGAACGCUGGGAGGCAAUGUCUCAUGCGGAACAGUGGGCAGAAAUCCAAUGAGAGGCCAGUGAGUGGUUCAAGAAACAAGCCGAAGAAAAAAAAGUAAGGGAGAUGGAGCCACCGCCAGUAAGUCGGCGAGAUUUAAACUUUUUUAUCAGGAUGGAAGAAGGAGGCAAGAAAAGGAUACCACUCUUGUCAAACUAUAAACGGGCUCUAGUAAAGGCUGAUGAAAAGGAUAAAAGGAAAGGAAAGUCAUCUUCCAGCGGUCCAGUCCCCGACCUCAGCCAUUUAUCAAAAAAAGAUGCUCAACGGGUAAAAGCAAUGCCCUUGGAUCAACAAGCAAAUGUAUUGAAGUUCAUGGAAGAAACAGGUCUGAGACUUGAUCAAUGCAUAGGGCAAGUUGAGACGCCAACUGCACCGCCCCCUGAGCCGAGAUGGCCUUAUGAGCUAGGAAAACCUCUUGUAAAGCCUUCAUUGGUACGGAAGCUAUCAACAAAGAUGUACGCAUUCCAUCAAUGGUACAUGAUGGCAUCCGCCGACUCGAGGGAGAUGAUCGGCAUGAAGGUAAAACCGAUAGAUUUUCACGGUGAAGGGGAGAAAGUGCUGUGGUUAGACUUCAAGGAUAUAUACGAAGUGUACCAUCAUGAUGCCCUGAAUGUCUCUCUGAUCAGCGCUUGGGUUCUGUAUGUUGGAGGUAUGCCCUAGAGGCAAUCAUAGAGAUGAUGAUAUUCCAUUUGUAUCCAUGAUUUGUAUAUUGUGUUCAUUGAAUAUCCAUUAAAGGCUACUUGAAUUGAUUUGCAAUUAUGUGAAUUGUAUGUGAAACUCUUUACUUGUAUGGUUAUUCUAAAGUUGUCCCUAGUCGGAGUUCAUGUGAGGACACACAUGAAUAUUAGACUAGCACAUGUAUUAGUUGAUGACUAUGUUUCACAAGUCAUGGACAUGGAGAUGUUGAACUAAUAAUGUGGACACAUGUGGAGACAUGUGCUAGGACUGACCCAACACGAGAAGUAGUUCUCUCUUUAAACAACAUAUACGCUUUGUCCUUAGACCUGAGAUUGUCGCAUGUAUUCUAGAUGUGGAUCGACCUACUUAGGGGCUAUCAAACGCUACGCCGUAACAGGGUAGUUAUAAAGGUAGCUUUCGGGUUUGUCAAGAAGCAUGCUAUGAGACAUGGUCAAUCAAGAUGGGAUUUGCCCCUCUCUGAUUGAGAGUGAUAUCUCUGGGCCCCUCGAGUGAUCGGAUCCGAAAAUGCAUGGCCAUGCUACGUACGGUUAAGAGUUAACCUACAAAGGGAUUCCGGAUCACAGGAUCGAGAAAGAGCGGUCGGCUUGUAGCUAGACCAAAUAUCGUGAGGCAAAGGGAAUAGCAUGUAUAUUAUGUUGUGAUGGUUCGUCUGAUAUGAUCUUCGUGUGCGUAUAGGAGUUGGCACGUCUUGCUAGAGGCCGCUACCGACUAUUGGGCCGAGUAGGAGUACUCGGGCCAUGUCUAUACGUAUCCGAACCUAUAGGGUCACACACUUAAGGGGCUCGAAGCCCAAUUCGGAUCUAAUCCGAGUUGGAUUAGGUUUAGAAGUGCUAAUGGGCCUCGGAUCCAGAGGCCCGUCAGGAACCUCUAUAAAUAGAGGGGUGGGGGCGCCCUAGGGUUUACACCUUUUUGGCGAAACACACCUGCCGCGCCUCCCACGCCCUCGCCUGUUGCAACUCGCGGAUCUAGCAGUCCGGCUUGCGACGCUUCCUCCCUGCACGUGUGGAUACCUUGGAGGUGUUGCGCCUGCAGCACUUGGACGAGCCAUCGACGAGCCGCCGACGAGCCACGACGAGCCGCGGCACCGGAGGUGAUCUUGCUGCACGUGGACGAGCUGCUGAGGAGCUGCUGGACGUGAUCGACUACGCACGACUACGUUGAUCGACUACGUACGACUACGUGAUCGUCUUCACUGCAUCGACGCAUAUCUACAUCUUCCGCACCAGUAGUGCGUCGAGUGGUAAUCCCGUGAUCCUUAUACGGCAGUUCUUCCUGGUUAUACGCGGUAGAAUUUUUGUUUUGCGCUAGCGUAGCCUACCUCGUAUCCCUACAGUGGUAUCAGAGCCGUAGCUGCUUAGUUUUGGAUUCGGGAUGUGUGCAUAUGGAGAUAUGCGAGUUUUCUGUUUGAUCUAUGUCCUGGUUUCGUGCCCUUGCUGCAAUGGUAGUGUAACGACAUACUCCUACCGGUCGGUUUCCGCCAUCGAAGUUAAGUGAUACACGUAAAUCCAGUUGCAGUGAGGGAAGAUCAAUAUGAUUGGUCAAAUCGAAAUCUAGGGUCAUACGCCAGGCGCAUUAGAUGUGCAAUAGUAGAUGGGAUCUAAUGCCGAGGUCGGGAUUUUUGCCGUAUGCGUAUGCUUCGGUAAAUCAACCGUAACUUUUCGGUACGAUCUCGGAUCGGGGCGAUUUUUAUACAAAAAUUGAUCUACAGAAAAAGUUACACAUGAAUUUCAAUGGCUUUGCCAUUCUCGGCGAAAUUAGAUUUCCCAAAUUUGGCUUGGAAGAUGGAGUUUUGGGCCUCCGAAGUUUGGAACGUUAGGACGCCUAACUCUGUUUUGCAGGAUGUAUGUAUGUAUCUUGUGAUCAGUAUGGCCCCCUUGUGUAUGUGAUGCAUGUGUGUAACUCAUUCGUGACCUGCGUGUCGCGCGUACGGCAAUACUGCAGGAGCCAUAUGUGUUGUCACUUUAUUGUAUUUAAUGGUCUGCGUACCAAUCUGUGAUGAUCCAAGCAACUAUGUAAUCUUCAUUACUAGAUUCUUUACUAGCUAUUAGGCGUAAUAGCAUGCUCUAGUUCUUGGAGGACUCAUCACCAGGAGGAUGGCGCACAUGGAACAUGGAGAUGGAGAUCACCAUGGUGAACAGGUUCUAUGGAGAUGGAGAUCACCAUAUGAAAAUGGGCCAUACUGUGUCACAACUGUGUGAAUGCUAUUCUGUUUAUGUUUUACUUUCUGCAUGCUGUGAUGUUAAAAGUAGAACGAUCCCUCACAAAGUUUAAGUUACUAUGCCCUCCCAACUAAAACUUGCACCGUCCCAUGUCUUGUACAAUUAGUGGUGGGUCUAUGAAAUUAGGGUGCCACUAGUUUUCCUUGACUAGACGGGUUUGUGUCGGACACUUACACGCAUAAGGGUUGGUUUGCUUAACAAGGUUAUCUUAACGGUUAAGGACCUUGGGGCAUAAAGGUUGGGCGCCGAGACAUAGAGAUGUCACCCAACAACAGGAGUCAUAUGUUGAUAUGAUUAGCAAAAGUUGCUUACCGAUCUACCUCGUUUGCUAGCGGUGAUGCUAAAGCUCACUAGUGGACUUGUUAGUUGUGGAUCCUGAAUCACUAAGUUUCAAUAGAGGGAUAUUGAUUUUAGUGGAAGUAGAUUCUGUUAAAAUAGUUUAAUGUAAUUUGCUCUAUCAUGGAUACGUUUGUCUUAGUGUAUUUUGCAUUACUUUUGUUGUAGAUUAAAUGGCACCUAGCAACACCACCGCAUCGUUUGCUUUGCGUUCGGUCCUUGAGAAGGACAAGUUGAAUGGAACAAACUACUCGGAUUGGAUCCAUAACCUGAGAAUUGUUCUCAGGGCUGAGAAAAAGGAAGAUGUUCUAGACACCCCACUACCACCAGUACCUGCUGAUGAUGCAUCUGCUGCCGUUAAGGCUGCUUACAAGAAGGCAUUUGAUGCUAAUCUUGAGGUAAGCUGCCUUAUGCUUGCUUGCAUGGAGCCCGAGCUGCAGAUGCAGUUCGAGACAAAUCAUGAGGCACACGAUAUGAUCGUGGCGCUCAAGGACAUGUUCCAGACACAGGCUAGGACCGAAAGGUUCAAUGUGUCCAAAGCCUUUCUGGAGUGCAAGUUAGCAGAAGGCGCAGCAGUAGGACCACAUGUAAUCAAGAUGGUUGGUUACACUCAGCGAUUGGAGAAGCUGGGCUUCCCAAUGGGCAAAGAGUUGGCCACUGACUUCAUUCUUUCAUCUCUUCCGCCUAGCUAUGGGAACUUCAUCUCGAACUACCAUAUGCAUGGGACGGAGAAGGGUCUGAAUGAACUGUGUGGUAUGCUCAAGACAGCAGAGGUAGACAUUAAGAAAAGCGCUAGUACCAGCCAUGUGAUGGCUGUACAGAACAAGCCUACCUUUAAGAAGAAGGGCAAUUCUUGGAAGAAGAAGGGCAAGGCUGGAGUGUCCAAGCCAAACCCAGCGCCCAAGGCUAAAGCUGGACCUGCUCCAGAUAAAGAGUGCUUUUACUGUCAUGAACUUGGUCACUGGAAGAGAAACUGCAAGCAGUACCUAGCUUCGUUGAAGAACGGCGGAAGUAAGAGUACCUCUACCUCAGGUACGCUUGUUGUUAAUGUUAUAGACAACAUAUUUCUCGCUGAUACAAUUAUUAAUUCUUGGGUAUUUGAUACCGGAUCGGUUGCUCAUAUUUGCAAUUCGAUGCAGGGAAUGAUAAAAAGUAGAAGUGUGGAAAGAGGAGAAGUUGAUUUCCGCGUGGGAAAUAAUGCAAGAGUUGCUGCUUUGACCGUCGGGACGAUGCAACUCCACCUCCCGUGAGGAUUUAUUAUGGAGUUGAAUAAUUGUUUUUUUGUUCCUAGUUUAAGUCGAAACAUUUUAUCUCCUUCAUGCUUGAUGAAGGAUGGUUAUUCAUUUGCGAGUGAAAACAAUGGUUGUGUGAUCUCUAAGAAUAAUAUGUUUAUGGCUUUUGCACCCAUUGUGAAUGGAUUGUUUGUUUUAAAUCUUGAUGGUUCACCUAUCUGUAAUGUAAGUGCUAAAAGGCCUCGGCCUAAUGAUUUGAGUCCUACCUACUUGUGGCAUUGUCGUUUGGGUCAUAUAAGUGAAAAGCGCAUGAAGAAGCUCCAUUCUGAUGGACUUCUAACUUCGUUUGAUUUUGAAUCAUACGAGACAUGUGAGGCUUGCUUGCUAGGCAAGAUGACCAAGACGCCUUUCACAGGAUUUCCUGAGAGAGCAGUAGACUUGUUGGAACUCGUACAUAGUGAUGUAUGCGGACCAAUGAGCACGACGGCUAGAGGAGGAUUCCAAUACUUCAUAACUUUCACUGAUGAUUUUAGUAGAUAUGGCUAUGUCUACUUGAUGAGGCACAAGUCUGAAACCUUUGAAAAGUUCAAGGAAUUUCAGAAUGAAGUUGAAAAUCAGCGUGGCAAGAAAAUUAAGGUCUUGCGAUCUGAUCGUGGAGGCGAGUAUUUGAGCCACGAGUUUAGCAAUCAUCUAAAGAGUUGCGGAAUUGUUCCACAACUUACGCCGCCUGGAACACCUCAGAGAAACGGUGUGUCCGAGCGACGUAAUCGAACUUUGUUAGACAUGGUUCGAUCAAUGAUGAGCAAGUCGGACCUACCGUUGUCAUUUUGGGGAUACGCUCUAGAAACAACAGCUUUCACACUUAAUAGGGUACCAUCUAAAUCCGUAGUUAAGACACCAUAUGAGAUGUGGACUGGAAAGGUUCCUAGUUUGUCUUUUCUAAAGAUUUGGGGAUGUGAAGUGUUUGUCAAGCGACUUCAGUCGGACAAGAUCACACCCAAGUCGGAUAAGUGCAUUUUCGUGGGAUAUCCAAAGGAAACUUUGGGAUAUUAUUUCUACAACCGAUCAGAAGGCAAAGUGUUUGUCGCUCGGAACGGGGUUUUCCUAGAGAAAGAGUUUCUCAAAGGAGAAAAGAGUGGAAAGAUAGUGCAUCUUGAAGAAGUUCAAGAUGAGCCAAUCGGGCAAGAAUCAAUGAGUGAUGCUAACGUAGCAGAACAAGUUGAGAUACCCAUGGCAAGAGAAGCACCGCCACAACCACGAAGGUCAGCAAGGCUCCGCGAAAUGCGGGAAAUAUUAUUGUUGGACAAUGAUGAGCCUGCGACAUAUGCAGAAGCAAUAAUGGACCCAGACUCCGAAAAAUGGCAGAGUGCCAUGCAAUCCGAAAUAGAGUCCAUGGGAGACAAUCAAGUUUGGAACUUGGUUGACCCGCCUGAUGGUGUUAAAGCCAUAGAGUGCAAGUGGAUCUAUAAGAAGAAAAAGGACAUGGAUGGAAAUGUUCACAUCUAUAAAGCACGACUUGUCGCAAAAGGUUUUUGACAAGUUCAAGGAGUUGACUAUGACCAAACCUUCUCACCCGUAGUGAUGCUUAAGUCCAUUCGGAUUAUUCUAGCUAUAGCUGCAUAUUUCGAUUAUGAGAUAUGGCAGAUGGAUGUCAAGACAGCUUUCCUGAAUGGAAACCUAGCUGAGGACGUGUAUAUGAUACAGCCCGAGGGUUUUGUCGAUCCGAAAAAUGCUGGAAAGGUAUGCAAGCUUCAGAGAUCCAUUUAUGGAUUGAAGCAAGCAUCUAGGAGUUGGAACAUUCGUUUUGAUGAAGUAGUCAAAGGGUUUGACUUCACCAAGAACGAAGAAGAGUCUUGUGUUUACAAGAAGGUUAGUGGGAGCUCUGUAGUAUUUCUAAUCUUAUAUGUGGAUGACAUAUUACUGAUUGGAAAUAACAUUCCUAUGCUUGAGUCCGUAAAGACUUCACUGAAAAAUAGUUUUUCGAUAAAGGACUUAGGGGAAGCGGCAUAUAUUCUAGGCAUUAAGAUCUAUAGAGAUAGAUCGAGAAGGCUUAUAGGUUUAAGCCAAGAUACUUAAAUUGACAAAGUGUUGAAGCGGUUCAGCAUGGAAGAGGCAAAGAAAGGGUUCUUGCCUAUGUCACAUGGCAUACAUCUCAGCAAGACUCAGUGUCCUUCGACUGCUGAUGAGCGGGAUCGCAUGAGUAGAGUGCCAUAUGCCUCGGCUAUUGGAUCUAUCAUGUAUGCAAUGAUAAGUACUCACCCAGAUGUUUCAUAUGCGCUAAGUAUGACAAGCAGACACCAAUCUGAUCCAGGUGAGAGUCACUGGACAGCGGUGAAAAACAUUGUUAAGUACUUGAGAAGGACUAAAGAUAUGUUCCUCGUCUAUGGAGGUGAGGAGGAGCUCGUUGUAACAGGUUACACCGAUGCUAGUUUCCAAACCGACAGAGAUGAUUCAAAGUCACAAUCAGGAUUUGUGUUCACGCUGAAUGGUGGUGCUGUUAGUUGGAAGAGUUCCAAGCAGGAGACGGUGGCCGAUUCUACGACAGAAGCCGAGUACAUCGCGGCUUCGGAAGCCACGAAGGAAGGUGUUUGGAUAAGGAAUUUUCUCAUUGAGCUUGGUGUGUUCCCGAAUGCGUCCAGCCCAUUGAAUCUCUACUGUGAUAAUAAUGGGGCAAUUGCGCAAGCAAAGGAGCCAAGGAACCACCAGAAAAACAAACACGUAAUGCGGCGAUUUCAUCUCAUUCGAGACUUCGUUAACCGGGGUGAGAUCAAGAUAUGCAAAAUACACACGAAUCUGAACAUUUCUAAUCCGUUGACAAAACCACUCCCGCAGGCUAAGCAUGAUGCGCAUGUAAGAGCUAUGGGUAUUAGGUACCUUCUAGAUUGACUCUAGUGCAAGUGGGAGACUGUUGGAGGUAUGCCCUAGAGGCAAUCAUAGAGAUGAUGAUAUUCCAUUUGUAUCCAUGAUUUGUAUAUUGUGUUCAUUGAAUAUCCAUUAAAGGCUACUUGAAUUGAUUUGCAAUUAUGUGAAUUGUAUGUGAAACUCUUUACUUGUAUGGUUAUUCUAAAGUUGUCCCUAGUCGGAGUUCAUGUGAGGACACACAUGAAUAUUAGACUAGCACAUGUAUUAGUUGAUGACUAUGUUUCACAAGUCAUGGACAUGGAGAUGUUGAACUAAUAAUGUGGACACAUGUGGAGACAUGUGCUAGGACUGACCCAACACGAGAAGUAGUUCUCUCUUUAAACAAUAUAUACGCUUUGUCCUUAGACCUGAGAUUGUCGCAUGUAUUCUAGAUGUGGAUCGACCUACUUAGGGGCUAUCAAACGCUACGCCAUAACAGGGUAGUUAUAAAGGUAGCUUUCGGGUUUGUCAAGAAGCAUGCUAUGAGACAUGGUCAAUCAAGAUGGGAUUUACCCCUCUCUGAUUGAGAGUGAUAUCUCUGGGCCCCUCGAGUGAUCGGAUCCGAAAAUGCAUGGCCAUGCUACGUACGGUUAAGAGUUAACCUACAAAGGGAUUCCGAAUCACAGGAUCGAGAAAGAGCGGUCGGCUUGUAGCUAGACCAAAUAUCGUGAGGCAAAGGGAAUAGCAUGUAUAUUAUGUUGUGAUGGUUCGUCUGAUAUGAUCUUCGUGUGUGUAUAGGAGUUGGCACGUCUUGCUAGAGGCCGCUACCGACUAUUGGGCCCAGUAGGAGUACUCGGGCCAUGUCUAUACGUAUCCGAACCCAUAGGGUCACACACUUAAGGGGCUGGAAGCCCAAUUCGGAUCUGAUCCGAGUUGGAUUAGGUUUAGAAGUGCUAAUGGGCCUCGGAUCCAGAGGCCCGUCAGGAACCUCUAUAAAUAGAGGGGUGGGGGCGCCCUAGGGUUUACACCUUUUUGGCGAAACACACCUGCCGCGCCUCCCACGCCCUCGCCUGUUGCAACUCGCGGAUCUAGCAGUCCGGCUUGCGACGCUUCCUCCCUGCACGUGUGGAUACCUUGGAGGUGUUGCGCCUGCAGCACUUGGACGAGCCAUCGACGAGCCGCCGACGAGCCACGACGAGCCGACGACGAGCCGCGGCACCGGAGGCGAUCUUGCUGCACGUGGACGAGCUGCUGAGGAGCUGCUGGACAUGAUCGACUACGCACGACUACGUUGAUCGACUACGUACGACUACGUGAUCGUCUUCACUGCAUCGACGCAUAUCUACAUCUUCCGCACCAGUAGUGCGUCGAGUGGUAAUCCCGUGAUCCUUAUACGGCAGUUCUUCCUGGUUAUACGCGGUAGAAUUUUUGUUUUGCGCUAGCGUAGCCUACCUCGUAUCCCUACACUGUAAGUGUCCGUUUAUCUCUACAUGUAAAUUUUGGCGUGCGUCACCGUACUAACUUCAUCUUCCAUUUCAUGUAGGAUGCUAAUUCAGACAUGCCGCCGAGAGGCGUACCUACAUGUAGGCUUCAUGGAUCCAUCUGUAGUUAACCAACGACAGAUACAAUUAGCGCCGGAAAAAACCUUUGCGGAAGUAUACAAUUUCCUAGACAAACAAACAUUCAAGGAUUUCAUACUACUUCCAUACAACUUCAAGUAAGUGUGUGUAUACCGUCUACUUUCGAUGUCUUUUUCCUUAUCUCUACAUGUUAGUUAGCUCUAAUAUGCAUGAACAUUUUACGCACGCAGCUUCCACUGGAUCCUUAUUAUAAUUGAGCCUGAAAGAAGCCACGUCACUGUCUUCGAUUCGUUAAGGAAAGAUCCGGUGGACUACCAAGAAGUGCAAGACAUGCUAGGCUUGUAAUAAUUCUGGACCUUUAUCUCUAUGCAAAAGUUUAUUUCCUAAAUUUUAUCCCUGUUACACUAUAUCAUUCAUUAUUCUAAUCCGCAGCGCAUGGAAACAAUUCAUAAGGACACACAAAGGUCCAUUCAAAGAAAAACUUACAUGGAACACAGACUUCCCAGUACGUAUGAAGUCUGCACAUUUAUUACAUUGUAUAACACGAAUAUUUCAUAACUUAUUUUUUUCCGCACUCAAGUGCUUAAGACAGGAACCCGGGAAUAAUCUAUGUGGCUACUACAUCUGUGAGCACAUGCACAGUUUUAUGGGACCCAAGGGACCGAAGAUGACGCCGCACAACUUUAAAGUACGUAAAAUAAAAUUAUUACUAGUUAAUUAUUUUCUAGCUCCUUAUAUGUAUUUGUUCGUGUAACAUUCACAAAUUUCUAAAUUAUAGAUGUUAAAUAUUCAACAAGGACUCUUGAAGGAAGAAAGAGUAGCGGCAAUAUGUGAAGGUCUCAUUGGAUUCAUAAUGGACGAGGUGGUAAAUCCAAAAGGAGAAUUUUAUUACGAUGGACGACAAUUAGACACUCCGAUCAGCAACACCACGACGGGAAGAUUGUAGACAGAUGCUUUGAUUUAUUUGUAUAUAUAAUACGCGCUAAUUAUGAUCGAUUUGUACUAAGCUAGUUGAAUUGUGUAUAUGAAUUGUGUAUAAGGAUUGUGUAUAUAUAUAGUAAUUGUAUAAUUACAAAUCCCAUUCGUUUAAAUACUAGUUGGUUAACAAAUUAAAAGGGCCGCGGUACUGCGUAUACGUGAUGCAUGCAUGAAAAAUUCAGGCGCUACGGCAGUGCCAUGCAGGCGCCAUUUAGUCCCGGUUGGAAUCCAGCCGGGACUAAAGGGUCCCCCUUUAGUCCCGGUUGGUGACACCAACCGGGACUAAAGGGGGACCUUUACUCCCGGUUAAAAGAUCCGGGACUAAAGACCCCCCCUUUUGUCCCGAUUGGUUUAUCCCGGAUGGAUUUUCGAGAGAUAUGCACCCUACCAACCGGGACUAAAGGCCAAUUCUCUACUAGUGGACGCAUCACGCAGGAUGUACAUCAUUUUUUCACUAUCAUAAAAUAACCAUACAGAGCACAGUUACUAACAGACAACUGCAAUUCCAAACAUUUUCUGAUUUUCGGUUAAGUAUGCAGAUUCUAGACUUCAUUUACUACGGAUCUAAUUUUGUCUCAUAGUAGCCUGCCUUUGGAAUUAAUGCCAUAUCCACACGGUUUCAAGUGUCGUUUGCAGAUCCAGUUAACCUCAGUUGCUGAGUUGCAGGGAUGUUUUUUUAGAGAACGUUCUAACUCGAGUACAGUUUUCUUGCCCCAUCCACACGGUUUCACUUAUUUCUUGCAAGAAGGCGGCGGCGAAAUUCCCCAAGAGCCCAGAUUGGGUACAGGUUGCGGUAGUUGCCGUAAUUUAAGUAUAGGGAACUGUUGAAGCACCCAACGUGUUCCUGCAAUCAAAGGACAGGUACCAGAAAGUAAGUGGAGUUGAACCAUCAGGUCUAACUAGAACAUAUAUAUGUUGAGGUGUGGUAGGACAGCAAGUGUCUAUUGCAUAAAAAAUGGACUUAUUUGUAUACAUUCUGGGAUUUGCUAUAUGCAUUCAUGCACAAGUCAUGUGGCCAGAAGUCAACUCCUUCAUGAAUGCAUAACCCGAACCUAUACAUGAUUGUACAUAUAGAAAUUGAAAUUUGAUUGACAUAUCACUUGUUAAGUAUAUAGCGUACGGUCGUAAGGAUGGUAGAGUUGGUACAAUAGCUGAGCAAGUUGCGAUUUUAGGCUGCGCCUGGGCAGCAGAGUUGCACUGGGCCUGGAUAUUUCUUGUUCUGGCCCGAAAUAAACUGGGUUCUGCACCAGUCUACUUACUGGGUUCGUAAUUACUUCAACUGUUAUUAAAUUGAUUUUCUUUAAUUUGACGCUAUAAAAUAUGAGUGAACUUACAAGGGCUGACCAUAGAUAUGUCUAGACUGUCUACAAUGGAUAUAUCAAAAUUUAUAUAUUAGCUUUGUCACUAAAGUAUCUUUAUAAUUUAGAACUUUAUUAGGAAAUUUAUUUAAAUUACAAAAGGUAAUGGUCCAGUUUCUAUACCUUGGAGACCUUACAAAACAAUAGUGACAAAUAAAUAUUUAGCUGAAAAAGAAGGAAACAACCAAAUUGUGAUGCUAAAUUUAAUCCUUCUACAAGCGAAAAAAAAUAGAAAUUACUUGUUGGGGAAAGUCGCCUGACUCUAAUUGCAUAUUGAUCAAUUCUUUUGCAGCAUGAUAUAGAGGUGUUGGAUCUCGUUCCACCUGCAUAGCAUGGACACAAUAUGAAAUAAUAAGCAGACAUCAUUGCAGUUAUUAAAUAUUGUACCUAUGACAUUUGUAAUGUGUAAAAUAUAUACCUGCCCACCAGAAAUUAAAGCCAACAUUGCCCAAGCAGUGUUUACUGCAUGAGGACCACUAGCCUCCACGUACGACUGCCAAAUAUUAAAGUGGAAGCCAUGAUAAAAUUCAUUAAGAUUUGGAGUAAUCAAUAUCUUCUUCAAAAGAAACAUGUUUGAGAUAUAUAUAGUACAGCUCCCAACAUCAAAUAUUGUGUAAUGUUUUUAUCGAACACACAGUUAUGGAGACAGUUAUAAAGCAGAUAAGGAAUUAUCCAAUAAGUUGGCAGAUUUUAAAGGAUUCAUAUAACUUUGUUUCUCAGAUUUCCAAUGCUAAGGAAUUCAGAUUUCGAGGGUUAACAUGGGGGGGGGGGGGGGGGGGUCGAUGCUACAAUUGAAGUGCUAUGUAAACCCUUUUUAAAAAAAGAAGAAGUGCUAUGUGGCCUAAUCAUGAAGGGAUGAUUGCCUGCAUGUAGACAUGCAGAUUUUCAGCAGUGCCGGGCAACCAUGGUUCAUUUAAAGAUUGUACAAGGUAAGGUGGGGCCAUGGCCUAGGUUGGCCUGUACAUAGCUCCGCCAGUAUGCAGUUAUGAUAUAGGAAACAAGGGUACUUGAUGUACACCAGUGAUGAGACAACUUAAUAUGUUACAAGAACCAGCAGUAAUCAUCCAGUUACAAGAACCAGCAGUAAACAUAAGAUAGAUAUUUUCUCUCAGUUGCACAGUAUCACAUAUAUUCUGAUAGAAUGUGAUACAAUAAUUUUUUUUAGAAAAAGGAUUGCCCGAUACUCCAAUUCAACGUAUAUUUGGAUACAACCGCUACCAUGAGCAGUUGAUUGCCAUUCAAUAGCCAAGGUUAACUCAAUACUAUCAAGAAAUAUGAUACUGCUGCCAAAUUAUUUUUCAACCACUGAUUCGAAUUUCUUCAGUAUUCCUAGAAACAACUAAACAUGGUAUUUGUUGUUGGAAACAAAGACUUGUGAAAACAAACACCUUAGAAUUGGAUCCUGUAGGUGGCUGUCACUCAGAUUAAUACAUUGUUAACAGAUAAUAUCAUGAAUCUAAAGUUAACCAAUAUAGAAACAUACCAUAACCUGACCAAACCCACCAAAUGGUUAUAGUUAUAAUUAAAUAAUGAAAAUUAACAGUUACCUCAGUUUCACUAGAAAGAUAAGUUUCACCCCAUCCACCUGUAGAUAGCUGCAUUGACAACAGAAAGCUGCAUGCUUUCCUGAUGGAGGAACUAUUUUCAUAAGUUCUUCCAGCAGCAGCUAAUCCUUUUACAGCAAAGAAUAAUCCGUAAGUGAAACAUACACCCCAAAUGCCAAACCUGUUAGAUCAUAAUUAAUCUAAUUAUUGAUUUCAUAAAUUUAAAGUUUGAAUAAUUUGCACAUAAUAAAUAAGAUGGUUUCAGAGACCAGGAGCCAUCUUUCCGUUGUUCCUUCUCAACAAACUUGGAUGUGCUUUUAAUGCAAUUUCCUAUCUCUUCUUUGCGGUACCCUGGAUCCAGCUAUCUGAACAUACUGAGAGCUUGGAGCACUGAUGAAGUGCACUCAACAGAUCUAUCAGUUGGUUAAAGAUAGUAAAUCAGGUCUCAUGUAUAUACAAUAAUUGGAAUCAGUUGUAUUUUUAUAAAAAUUAUGAGGAUAUUUCAUUUCUUACGGAUAGUCAACAACAAUGUUGAUAAAGCUCUCCGAAGGGUUGAGAACCUAUUGCCAACAAAUUCCAAGUUAGUAUGCAGUCACGCAUGAAAUUACUAUCGAGAAUAGCAUUUGGGUAAUUAAAGAAAAUGUUACACAAAAUGCACAGCCAUGCACAACCCUGAAAGCCAAAGUUCAUUUUACAGUUCAUAUUUGUCUUCCCAAACAAAUAAUUUGUUAUAUUAGCUAGGAGUGAGCUAUCUAUCUUAUUUAUGGCAAGCUAGAAGAUUAUAUGUGAGGUCUAGAAAGAGAGUUAGUAAUCAUCCAAUUUCUAAAUGCUUAAGAAUUGGUCAGGUUCAAAUUCUCUAUUCAACUGAAACCUUCGAACAUGGAAGUUACCCUUGUUUUCAAGGAAAAAAAGAGCAAUAAAAAGUACUCACCUCCAACAAAGAUGUGGCUCUUUUAUGCUCAUAUGUAGAAAAGGUGCCAUCAUCGUUCUUCAAUCAAUAAAAAAAAGCAUGCUCAAUAACAUUAGGUGUCAGGUACGACAUUAAAUUGUUCAUAAACUGGUUAGAAGAAUUAUAUAAAUAGAAAACAACAAUUUUGGUAAAUUUGGAAAUAUAACAAAAAGAGCAAUUGUGUUUUUUUCUCGAAUAUGCAGGAGAGCUGCAUAUCAUUGCAUUAAGAAGAAGAGUUAGGCCACAAUAGCCGUACAACACACUGAUCACCCCCAAGCACUUGGGGUUUAUAAGUUACAUUCGCACUGGGAUAAAACAGCAGAACGACCUACUACACUAGCAUUCCCAACUACUGGACAGGGUGUCUAGUGACGACCACAGCACUAUGUUUUUUAGCACCUGCAAGCAUCCAGAGAUCAGCUUCCUCCCGUGCAAGCACCUGGGUACUAAUGUCUGAGUGAUGAUGUCGCAAUUUUUUUUUUGGUGCCAAAGGUGCAAAUACCUCCAGAACGUGCAUUUUUUUUCUCUUUUAUAGUUUUCUUUUACUUUCGUUUUUCUUUUCAGAUGGCAGAUUGGUUCAAUCCUUGCUCAGGGAUUACACCAAGUGGGAUUGAGCCACCACCAACGAUGUGAUGGCUUCUGUGAAUGAAAUAUUCUCAAUUUUAAAAUAGUAAUAUAGACUUAAUUAAAACCAUUUGAACAUGUUCAAGUGCGAGACGAGUGUUGGAGUACAUUUGGUAGGCUAGAUAUUUUAUAUCCCAGACUGCCACAUUAUCAGGGAGGUGUCUUGCCCCCAAGUCUCUGUACUCUAUGUAUACUGCACGGGAGGUUCAGUGCAGAAUAUCCCAUGCAAUCUAUCCUUCCUAUGAAGAGGUUGCAAACAUGGAGCUAAUAGCGAGCCAGAUUAUGUCAUCUUUAGAAGUAAGGAUUUGUUUGGAUUACGCCGAUGCUGGCCGUGCUAAUCCAUCAGCGAGCCAAAUAAUUGGCGGCCGAUUCGCCCGCCCAUAGUUCGCCCGUGCGUUGGCGAAAAAAACAACUAGAGUGCAGGCAUGUGGUGUUGGCAUGCCAACGAUUGAUGUCGAUCCAAACGUACUAGGAGGUCCCAGUGAAUGACCAAAAUAUUGGUGGGGAUAGCGCUGGCACCAAUCCAAAUGCCCCCCUAAAAGUUCAUCAAUCUAUAAGAACUAUGACAAAUGAUCUAAAGCAGAGUCAUACCACAUAAGAAAGAAUGCAAUCCACAGCAUUGUACACACUUUCUCCUUUUAUGGGAUCCCCCACGAGACCUGAAGAGAACUUUGAUAACAAUAACAGUGCCUAAAGAAACGAAGCUGAGUGAGCAUGUGGCCUAUUAUAAACAUUUGGAAAUAAGGGCACUCGAAAAGAUUCCAUAUAAUCAUGAAUAAUGAUAAAGUUGCAUAAGUGUGUGCACAUGUAAAUUUGUCUGAAAAAAAUCAAUGACAGUAUAAAUAAGAUAAAUCAAGACCAACAGUGUUUGUUAUGCAUGUGUAGUAGUGCACAUGUCUUGUUUAUCCAACAGUAAUUUACUACUUUAGAAUCACAAGAGUAUAAGAACCGUAACAUAACUACUUUUUUUUUACUGAAAAUGGCUGAAAGAGUACUAUGUUAUUAUGACAUAGUAUAUUACUUAUGCUUUUACCAGGGAAGAACAUAAUCAAGUUUUGUUAGUAAAUAAGAAAUAUAUGAAGUAACUUGUCUUGACCUUGAGUGCUUCAGCAGUACAAUCAGACACAGACCACCCAUUAUCAGCUGUUGAAAGUGUCCAUGAACCUUUUGAUCUAUGGCGGUAGUAAGCUUCGUAGUCAGGAUGGUUUUCAUGAAUCUAUAUAAAGAUAUGCAUAUCAAGAUUUGCUAUGGAAAUAUUUCUUAAUUUACAAUAUGGAAGAAUAUAUGAUAGGUAACUUGAACCUGUGAACUUUUAAUGAAUUGAUGAGCUUUACGAAGUGUUGGACUAAACUCAUGAACAAGAUCUGUCGAGCAAUAGGCUUGGACAAUGAGAGCAGCCUCCCAGAUUGGACAACCAUCAUACACCUAUUAAAGGGAAAGAGUUUGUACAAUGCUUAUUAAGUCUUAACAAAAGAGAACAAGGUUGCUUCUGUAGAAAUAGAACGAACAUGCAAGUGGCCAUCUGAAACACUCUUUUCUGUAAAUCAUUGCGAUUGGGAAUAGCUAUGCUAAUUUAAAGAUUAAACAUAAUAGACCACCCAAUUAGUAUUUUGUGAAAAAAAAGGUUAGACUACUGUGAAGCAAUCCGUAGACAUGAACAUGACUUUUGGGUGAACAUUUCAGCAAUAUGCUAUCAAGAAUGGUAAUAUUCAAAUUUGUGGUCUAGUAGUAGUCACUGUAUGAUCAAUAUUAUGGAUUUUUAACGGUCCAAUUGAAAUUGGCUAUAACUAGAAACCAGUGUAAGGCUUUGUGUGAUUUGUGGCAUUUGGCACUAUAGAAACAUAUUUGUGAAAUUAUAAGGUCUCUGCUGUUAUGGCCUCUGACAAAUAUGGUGCUUGGAAUGUUAAGGCAUUGAAAUUCCAAUGUUCAGCCAGAUGGGAACUGUGUGUUGUGCAAAGACCAGUGCAAAUUCCAAUGUCCUUUCUCGGUGGCUUGUUGGCACAAAAUAGGAUUCCAUUGGAAUAAAGCUGCAUGCAUACAUGACCGACUGGUGUUGCCCAGGAAGACAAUGCAGCUUCCAUACUUCAUAGAAAUAUUUAUAGUUGCAUCAUGGGAAUUGUGGAACCUGCGAAAUGGAAAGAUCUUUGAUGGGAACAGAGCCUCUAUUCACCUUUGGACAUUGAAGUUCAAAGAGCAGGUCGUCCUUCAGCUUCAUUGUGUUAAGGAUGACUUUAGACCUAUAGUUAUUCAAUGGCUAGAUUCUAUUCUGUAAUCCUUUUCCUCCUUCUCUAAUGCUAGUAAGUAUGUCCUACACUUUGUAAAUAUUGUGUUUCUUUUUGAAUGAAUGCUGUGGGGAACUCCCCCACAGUUUUAAGUAAAAAAAAAAAUGGUGCUUGGAAUUGAAACAGGGGACUCAACAAUCAAGUCAUGUAUAGUGACUGUUGAAGUGAAGUUACGAGUUUCUUUGUAGCUAGGUUCGUAUUGACAAAUUCUUAACCAGAAGAGUAUCUAAUAUUUGUAGCCAAAGCUUUUCAAUAACAAUUAUAAAGUCACUAUCAAAAAUGAGAAAAUGGCGAGUAGUACAAUUGCUGCACAAGGCAUGACAAGAUAGUACCUGUGCCUUCAUUCCAUCUUCUGCAAGCCAUAAAAAAUCAUAUAUCCUUGGAAGAUGCUGCUUGAAUGCAUCUGAAUUUGGAUUUUCCACCCAACAACAAAUCAUAUUUAGACCCUACAUGCAAAAAGUUGAGAAGUAAUUAUAAAUUAAUACAAAGAUUCUUGUCCAAAUCAUUUCAGUCAUGCGUCAGAGUUAGUUCUCUUUUGACACUUUAAACUUUGAAAGAAACUUGAGGAUGCAUAAAUUGCUGCAGUAAGCUAACCAAGUUACAUUUAGCCAUUAUAGAUAUAUUUGGUAGAACUUCUCCAAAGUUUUAAGAAAUUCAAAUAGAUAGACUACAGUCAGGGCAAUGGGCUGAGCCUCAAAGAUUAUGCUUGAUAAUAUACUAUUUAUCAAAUCCAGUCAAUUCAGUAUAUAUCUGUGUCCAAACAAAAGUUUUGCAUUUGCCAAAAUGAAGGUCAAUUAGCAGAGAGAACCAUAAUUUCUCAUAUAGUAGCAAAAGUGGGCCCCAUUUUUUUUGUAAUAUCAGCACUAAAAUCACUCUCAAUAUUUUAUGAAUAUUACCUUGUUUAUCGGGCACAUACAGAUGUAUUUAGUAAUUUCAUCUUCAUAGUAGAUGUUGUGGACAACUUCUUUGGCAAGAAGUUCCACCGAAGGAACAAAGGGGCAGAUAAUCCGGGUUCAGCAGAUCAGUUAGAAUUAGAUAAGGAUUAGACUCCUAGUUGGUUAAGAAUUGUAACAGAAUUAGAUUGGAGAUAGAGUCCUAGUUAGAUUAGAGUUGAGUCCUAGUCAGUUAAGGAUUGUUGGCUGGCCCAAUAUAUAAGAGCCCUAGGCACCAUAGGUUAGGAUCAAGCAGGAACAGAUCCUAAACUCAGGGCCUCCCAGGGAGGGUGAGUAGGUACCUGUCGAUCUGCUAUUGUACUCCUUGCCCAAUAAACUAGCCAUAUCAGUAGAUAUGCUUCAUGAUGUUUCUCAAUGCUAUAUCUCUUAACUUGUUUACUGGCCAGCAAUUCAGCAUUGGCUCAACAACUUUACUAAGGCAAGUCCAUACAAGAUUUUGUGCCAUUGUCCGCGGAUAGAUAAGGUCCACCUGCAUGCACAAAAACAGAAAUAACAGAGAAUCAAAUUGAUGAAAUUGUAUUAAUCAAUUUUUUUGCUAAACAUACUAGAGAAGGCGCUAUAUAAUCUGGCUUCUUAUAUAUAAUCAUGAUAAUGAAGCUAAGAUAUGAACAUAAACCCUCGCCAAAAAAAAAGGAUAUGAGCAUAACAUUUUUAUGACCAAAAUGAUAUCACUUUAUGGUGGAAUAUAGAACUGAAGCUAAGAUAUGAACAUCAUUUUCGAGUAUUGAUAUGCUGCAGCUAAUAUCUUCUAAUUAACAUUUUCGAGUGUUGAUAUGAUCCAAACCAAUUAACAACAGCAACCUAUCAAAUAAGCUCAAUUUAGGGUCUCUAGGCCCACAUUUCUGUGAAAUAUCUCACGGAAAACAAAAUUUAUAUUGCAAUAUAAGACAUAUAAAUGAAUUGGUAGCAACAGCUCUUGUUGUAAUUAUUGGAGGUAAUUACAUGUCUAUUGGGCUAACCCUAGAGGGUAGCUAUAUAGUAGUCAUACAUGGGCCUUAUUGGGCCAUAAUACACACAUACAUACUCCAACACUCCCCCGCAGUCUGAACUACCGACGCAGCGGAGUUGUAGACUAGACAUGAAAAGAAGGACACACACACGAGCCCCCCCACAGACGCAACUAGCCACAGGUGAUGUUGAGGCUGGAGCGAAACUCAGUGAAGGCGGGUGACGGGAGGCCCUUGGUGAAGAUGUCGGCAAACUGAGAGGUAGUCGGGACGUGGAGGACCUGAACAUCACCGAGGGCGACCCGAUCCCGGACGAAGUGAAGGUCGAUCUCCACAUGUUUGGUCCGCUGGUGCUGAACAGGGUUGGUGGAGAGGUACACCGCACUGACGUUGUCGCAGUAGACAAGAGUGCUCCGGGAGAGAGGAGUGUGGAGCUCGGCAAGGAGCUGCCGAAGCCACGAUGCCUCUGCCACGCCGUUAGCGACAGCGCGGUACUCCGCCUCGGCACUGGAGCGGGAGACCACCGGCUGACGCUUGGACGACCAGGACACCAGGUUGCCGCCCAGAAAGACGGCGUAGCCGGAGGUAGAGCGCCGAGUGUCCGGACACCCGGCCCAGUCAGUGUCGGUGUAGACAACAAGCUCAGUGGAGGGAGACCUGUGAAGGAGGAGGCCGUAGUCCACAGUGCCCCGGAGGUACCGGAGUAGGCGCUUGAGAGUAGUGAGAUGGGGCUCCCUGGGAUCAUGCAUGUGGAGGCAAAUCUGCUGAACUGCAUAAGUGAUAUCCGGUCUGGUGAAGGUGAGGUACUGAAGAGCCCCAGCCAGACUCCGGUACGCAGUAGCAUCAGUCAUCGGAGUGCCGUCGGCCUCUGACAACUUGGCCUGAGUGUCAACUGGAGUGGAGCAGGGCUUACAGUCAGUCAUCCCAGCUCGCUCCAGGAUAUCAAGAGUAUACUGCUGCUGGUGAAGAAAGAGGCCGGCCUGACGAGGCUCAACGGUGACCCCGAGAAAGUGAUGGAGCACACCCAGAUCCUUCAUAGCGAACUCCUGCUGAAGUGAGGUGAUGAUCCGCCGUAGGAGGGACGGACUCGAGGCAGUGAGGACAAUGUCAUCAACAUAGAGCAGCAGAUAAGCAGUCUCAGCACCAUGAUGAUAGAUAAACAGAGAGGUAUCAGACUUGGCCUCCACAAAACCCAGUGUCAGUAGGUAGGCAGCAAACCGCGAAUACCAAGCUCGAGGGGCCUACUUGAGGUCAUAGAGGGACUUGUUGAGCCGGCAGACCAUAUCAGGCCGAGAAGAAUCAACAAAACCCGCUAGCUGGCUGCAGUAGACUGUCUCAGUCAGAGUACCGUGCAGGAAGGCGUUCUUGACGUCGAGCUGAUGCAUGGGCCAGGAGCGGGAGAGAGCCAGUGAGAGAACAGUCCGGACGGUAGCUGGCUUGACCACCGGACUGAACGUCUCAUCGUAGUCGACACCAGGGCGCUGAGUGAAACCCCGGAGAACCCAGCGGGCCUUGUACCGAUCGAGGGUACCAUCAGCCCGCCGCUUGUGUGUCCAGAUCCACUUGCCAGUGACGACGUUGGAGCCAGGCGGACGGGGCACCAGAUCCCAAGUCUGGUUGGCGAGGAGCGCCGCGUACUCCUCUUCCAUCGCGCGGCGCCAGUGAGGGUCCGACAGGGCGCCGCGGACAGAGGAGGGUACAGGAGAGACCUGCGACUCGCCGGGCAUCGCUGUAAGAGCCCGGGGCUACAGGGUACCAGCCGCAUGUCGCGUCACCAUAGGGUGAACAUGACGCGGGUGCCGGUGUAGGAGAGGCGGAUGGUACACCGACGGCGCGACACGGGCAGUCGGGGCCGGCGGAGGUGGUGGUGUAGGCGUCGCCGGUGGAGAAGAGUCCACAGGCGGUGACCGAGGCGGCGACGGUGGUGGCGGGGCCGGCUCCAGGUGUAGUGGAGCCGGCCGCGCCCGGCGCUGGUAGACGCGCACGGGCUGCGCGAACCGGGCAGCAGGAGCUGAGGGCGGUGCCUCCGGCCCCGCGCAGGGCGAAGGGGUAGGGGCAGCACCAGAGUCUGGCGCCGUCAGACCCUCGCUGGGCGCAGGGUCAGGGGCAGCACCGGUGGACGUCGAGCCUGGGGCAGCACCGGUGGGCGUCGAGCCACGUGAAAACCACGAUGGAGCAGUACCUGCAGGACAACGUCAGCGAUGGCUGGUCCACCGGGUCAGUGGGAAACAGGGAGGAGAGAUCAGGGUCGGAGGUGGAAGGGGGUGGGGAGGUGGUGGAGUAAGGGAAGACGGACUCGUCAAACACCACGUGGCGAGAGAUGAGGACCCGCCGAGAGGAGAGGUCAAAGCAACGGUACCCCUUGUGAUCCGGGGAGUACCCGAGGAAGACGCACUGAGUCGAACGGGGAGCCAGCUUAUGAGGAGCGGUGGCAGUGGUGUUAGGAUAACACGCACACCCGAAGACACGAAGGUGAUGGUAGCGGGGGGGGGGGGGUACCGAAAAGAGCGUGGUGUGGAGUGGGAGCGGGGCAGGCAACGGAAGGUAGGCGGUUAAGGAGAUAGGUGGAGGUAUGAAGACUCUCAGCCCAGAAGGGGGCAGGGAGAGAAGACUGGAACAGAAGAGAGCGCAUGGUGUCGUUCGUGGUACGAAUCAUGCGUUCAGCCUUACCGUUCUGGGAGGAGGUAUAGGGACAUGACAUGCGUAGGUGCACACCAUGAGAGAGGAAGAAGGCACGGGAGGUGGUGUUAUCAAACUCGCGGCCGUUGUCACAUUGGACGGCCUUGAUGGUGAGGCCGAACUGAGUGGACACCCAGGCGAAGAAGUGGAGAAGCGUGGGGAAAGCAUCAGACUUGGCACGCAAGGGAAAAGUCCAAGAAUAAUGAGAGAAAUCGUCAACCACAACAAGAUAAUACCUAUAGCCAGAAAUGCUCAAAACAGGCGAUGUCCAUAGGUCGCAAUGUACAAGAUCAAACAUAUGGGUCGCAUGUGAAGAGGAGGUAGGAAAUGGAAGGCGAACAUGACGGCCCAGUUGGCACGCCUGACACAGGUGCUCAUCAUGAGCCCGAGUACAUGGUAUGUCGGAACUACGACUAAGCUGUGUCAGGACAUCACGGCCAGGAUGACCAAGACGCCGGUGCCAUGUAGUGGAAGAAGUUGUGGCGGCAAAAGCAGCUGAAGAAGCGGAGGGCGAAGCGGAAGAAGUGGACGCAGGAAACCGAAGGGAGUAAAGGGGCCCGGUGCUGUCACAUCGGAGAAGAGGUCGCCGGGUAGCCAAAUCCUUCACAGUAAGACCAGAGGAGUCAAAUUCAACAGAACAAGAAUUGUCAGUGGUAAAACAGCGAAUAGAAAGAAGGUUGUGAACCAUGGAGGGAGCAACAAGAACAUCAGAAACCCGAAAAGAACCGGGAGUGUGAGCGGUACCCACGGAAGUGACAGGAAGACAAGAGCCAUUUGCGACCAUGAUGGACGAAGGGUGGGAGGAAGGAGGGUGAACAUAAGAGAGUAUACCAGGGUCGGGUGUAGUAUGGAAAGUGGCACCCGAGUCGGCGAUCCANNNNNNNNNNNNNNNNNNNNNNNNNNNNNNNNNNNNNNNNNNNNNNNNNNNNNNNNNNNNNNNNNNNNNNNNNNNNNNNNNNNNNNNNNNNNNNNNNNNNGAAUCAGGGUCAUCGCCCGAAAGAGCAGGCCAAGGCUGUCGGGUCCCCCCCAACAGGCCAAGGCGAGGCCCCGGGAGGUGGAGCCCACGGCGGCGAAAACGGAGCGACCGGUACAGCGCUAACGAGCAUGGUGGCCGGUGGAGGAGGUUCCCCACCGGUGGCCGGAAGGCCCACAUGGAGAUGCGCCCGGACCAUGGGUUGCCAAAGGAUGCCCAUGAAGAGCCCCGUGGAGGCGGCGGUGUGCCCCCACGACCAGUGCCCGCACCACGCCCCCCACCGGGGGGACGGCGGCCGCCACGGCCCCCCCCCCCCCACCCCCGCUCGGCCCAGGAGGAGGAGGACCAAGAAGGGACGACGGUGGCGAAGCGGAGGGAUGUGGCGUAGGAGUCACAGCAAGAGCGGUCGAGGAAGACGCGGAGCCCGGCGCAGGAAGGGACCCAGGCUGGAUGCCCUGAGUAAGCUCCUCCAUGACAAGGUCAUCACGGACCUGCACGAAAGUGGGGAAGGGCCGCUGCCGGGUGAUCCAGGUGCGGAGGUGGGCGUAGCGCUCGUUGAGGCCGCGAAGAACGUUGAAAACCAAGAUCCGGUCCUCCACGGCCCAGCCAAGGUCACCGAGGGAGUCCGNNNNNNNNNNNNNNNNNNNNNNNNNNNNNNNNNNNNNNNNNNNNNNNNNNNNNNNNNNNNNNNNNNNNNNNNNNNNNNNNNNNNNNNNNNNNNNNNNNNNCCCAAGUACUAAACUUUAGCACUCCAUUUGAGGGUGCUAAAGUUUAGCACUGUGCUAAAGUUUAGCAUUGUGUAUCCAAACGGGGCCUAAGACAAGUCAAUUUUUUUAACACAAUUUGAUUACUUCAUGAUAAUCCUACUCACAGAGAAACAAAUGCAUUUUAUUGGAAUCCCCACUUCAGUUCAAACACAUUUUUCUUUAAUUCAGGGUGUGGAAUCGCUCAAGCAUAUAGCUUGCCUUCUAACAGGAUGCAUUCUUUUCAAUUUUUAUGGAAAACUUACACGAAUAAGUUAUCGCGCACUUAUUUAUCUGAAGUUGUUUGUCUUUGUUUCUUUCCUUGCCUUGUAAGUAUGUAACCACACUGCCACACAGUAGACUCUCGAGGUCCUCUUCAUCGGGUAUCAGUAUCCGCAAUUCCACAUCCAGGCAUGCCUAACAUAGUAACAUGUACUCAAACUCCUUUGACGUCAUUAAUUCAUGAAGUCUAAAUUUUCAACUGCAGCGUCGUGUACUCAAACAUGUACCUCAAGCGCUGACUUUAGCUCAGCUGCAGCGUCGAGGGCAACCAGCAGUAUUCUUUUUUUUUUUUUGCCUGGCCUCGAGAUGCUCAUGGAUGGUCUGCAAAUUGCAAAGAGCACAUGCUCCCACAUGGUUUGAAAUUUUCCUUAGCUGGCUUCUCGUUGUUUGAAGAGUUGCAGAUCAAGAUGUACAAGUGGAACACAUCUGUACAAACGUCAUUCUAUAUUGCUGUAAUUCAUUGCAACCAAUCAAGCCCAUCCCACUUGGCUCCUCCAAGGUCAAUGCAUGCUCGCAGUCUCCAUUUUCCCCCAAAGCAGCUUCUCAAACCCAUCGUCUACCUUCGCCACCCUCUCCACAUUGCAACUGUGUUUCCCUGUGUCCACUAUCCUGCGCGUGUGUUCUGAUCGAGCUCCAGGCGUUCCAAUGGCUGAGGUACUGGCCACCAUGGUGGUCGGGCCACUGGUGUCCAUGGUGAAGGAGAAGGCCUCCAGCUACCUCCUGGAGCAGUACCAGGUGAUGGAGGGCUUGGAGAAGCAGCACAAGCUCCUCAAGCGCAAGCUGCCGGCCAUCCUGGACGUCAUCACCGACGCCGAGGAGCAGGCGGCAGCCAAGCGAGAAGGGGCGAAAGCUUGGCUGGAGGAGGUCCGACAGGUGGCCUACCAGGCGAAUGACGUCUUGGACGAGUUCAAGUACGAGGCGCUCCGCCGCAAAGCCAGGGAGGAGGGGCACUACAAGGAGCUCGGCAUGGAUGUAAUAAAGCUCUUCCCUUCUCACAACCGUUUUGUGUUUCGUAUCAAGAUGGGCAAUAAGCUCCGCAUGAUUUUGGAAGAACUUGAUGUCCUUAUCGCAGAGAUGAAUUGUUUCGGGUUCAAGUUCCGGCAAGGGCCACCAGUGCCCGUAAAUCACUUGAGGGAGAAUAGUUCUAAAAUCAUCGACCCUGUGGACAUUGCCGGCAGAUCCAGAGCUGGAGACAAGAAGAAGAUUAUUAAGUCGUUGCUUGAUAAAGCUAGCAAUGUGAAUCUCACGGUCUUUCCUGUCGUGGGGAUGGGAGGGAUGGGGAAGACCACCUUAGCCCAGCUUGUUUACAAUGACCCUGACAUUCAGAAGCAUUUCCAGCUGCGACUCUGGGUGUGCGUCUCUGACAACUUUGAUGUGGAUUCCCUGGCUGAAAGAAUUGUCGAAGAAGCUAAGAAGAAUGGUUGUCAAGCAAAUGGAAGUUCGGCAUUGGACAAGCUUCAAAAUGCAGUGAGUGGGAAGAGGUACCUCCUCGUAUUGGAUGAUGUCUGGAACCGUGAUGAGGCACACAAGUGGGAAAAACUGAAGUCCUACCUUCAGCAUGGUGGCAGCGGCAGCUCAGUGCUCAUAACAACUCGUGAUCAAGCCGUCGCUCAACUAAUGAUGGGUACAGCUACAGGAGCCUAUGAACUUGGACGCUUGGGUGAAAAUUUCAUAGAGGAAAUUAUCAGGUCGAGAGCAUUCAGCUCGAAACAAGAGAAGGAUUGGCCUCGUGAACUAGUUAACAUGGUUGGUGAUGUUGCAAAGAGAUGUGCUGGUUCUCCUUUAGCUGCUACAGCAUUGGGCUCUGUGUUAAGUACCAAGACCACCGCGCGUGAAUGGAAGGAUGUGCUAAGGAGAAAAAAGAUUUGUGAUGAUAGAAACGGAAUCUUACCGGUACUCAAGCUUAGUUACAAUUGCUUGCCAUCACAUAUGCGGCAAUGCUUUGCUUUCUGUGCUAUGUUUCCCAAGGAUUAUGAGAUUGACGUGGAAAUGUUGAUCCAGUUAUGGAUGGCCAAUGGUUUUAUCUCGGUGCUACAAGGAGAAGAACAUCCUGAAAUUUCAGGUAAAAAUAUUUUCAUUGAGCUUGCGUCAAGGUCAUUUUUCCAGGAUGUGAAGGGGAUCCCAUUUGAGUUCACUGAUAUAGAGGUCUCUAGAGUUACUUGUAAGAUCCAUGACCUUAUGCAUGACGUUGCAUUGGAUUCUAUGGGAAAAGAAUGCGCUGCUAUAGCUACAGAACAGAGUAAAAGUGGGGAUUUUCCACAUUCAGCUCGUCAUUUAUUGUUGUCAGUCAAUGAACCAGAAACUUUUCUGAAUGCUUCCCUGGAGAAAGGCUCUCCGGUUAUACAAACACUGAUAUGUGAGGGAGAUGUAGACAAAGACUUGCAACAUUUGUCAAAAUACAGGUCUGCGCGAGCAUUAAAGAUCAGGGGAGGUUUAGAGUUAAAGCAAACUUCAUUCCUAAAACCCGUAUGGCUACAUCACCUGAGGUACCUUGAUUUCUCAGGAAGCUAUGCUAUUAAAUCACUUCCUGAAGAUAUAAGCAUCCUAUAUCAUCUGCAAACAUUGAACCUUUCUAGCUGUCACUAUCUUGAACGACUUCCAAAGGGAAUGAAGUACAUGACUGCCCUCCGUCACCUCUACACUCACGGAUGUUUGAAGUUAAAGAGCAUGCCUGCUGACCUCAGACACCUCACUUCCCUACAGACGCUGACAUGCUUUGUAGCAAGUGCAGGCUCUGAUUGCAGUAGGGUGGGAGAACUGAGGCGGUUAGACGAUCUUGGUGGUCAGCUGGAGCUAAAACAGCUAGAAAAUGUGAAAGAGGCAGAUGCAAAAGAGGCAAAACUCGGAAAUAAGAAAAAACUGGCCAGAUUGACAUUGAGAUGGACUGAUGUUGACAAAGAGGCACGGAAUAGUGAUAGAGAGGUACUGGAAGGUCUGGAGCCUCAUGACGGACUGAAGGUUCUAGAGAUAUAUUCCUGCAGUAUCGACACUUGUCCAACAUGGAUGAAUAAGUUGCAAGGCAUAGUGAAGCUUAAGUUAUCCGAUUGCAAAAGACUCGAGAAGCUUCCUGCAUUCUGGCAGUUACCAGCUCUGCAAAUUCUUUGCUUGUACGGAUUGGAAAAUAUACGUUACUUGUGUAGCAGUGAUAUAGCCUUCACAUUUCAGAAACUGAAGAACCUUGAAAUUUUUAAGUUGCCAAACUUUGAGAUAUGGUGGGGCACAAGUGAGGUGCGAGGAGAAAGGCCAAUAUUUCCCCUGCUUGAGAAGCUGUUAAUCAAAGAGUGUAAAAGUUUGGCUGCAUUGCCGAAAGCAUCAGUUCUUAAAGAAACAUUUGAAGGGGUCAAGACUGAGUACAGGUCUGCAUUUCCAGCAUUGAAGGAAAUGGAGUUAGAAAAUCUUGAGAUGUUUCAGCGAUGGAAGGAUGGUGAAGGAACUCCAGGAGAAGAGCUAACAUUUCAUUGGCUUGAGAAACUAAUAAUUCGGAGUUGCCCAGCGUUGACUACUCUACCCGAAGCACCUAAGCUAAGUGUAUUAGAAGUAGGAGGAGUCAGCCAACAAAUAUCGUCCCUGCACGCAGCUAGCAGAUAUAUCACUUCAUUGUCCAGCCUGGAGUUGUCUGGCGAUAACACAGAAACAGAAUCGGUGGCUGAACAAAAUUCGAGUGAGUUGGUGCAUGGCAGGGAGAAAUGGGAGCAUAGAUCCCCUCUGACACGUAUGUAUUUACGGGGAUACAACCUUUUGUUCUCCCACUCAAGUGCACUGCCACUAUGGACAUGUUUUGCACAGCUCGUAGAUUUA